AGAGUACCGUGAGCACUGAUCGGAGAUCGGAGAUUUUUUGGGGGACUGACGGAACCGAACACGCCCACCACGUGGCAAAAGAGUACCGUGAGCACUGAUCGGAGAUCAGAUUUAUUUGGGACAGACGGAACUGAACACGCCCACCACGUGGCCUUCGAACAGACAGGCAAUCAUAGGAAUUAAUCCUACACAGUGCGAAGCUUGGCAGUGGCAAGAAGAAAGAAAGAAAACCUCUAAAAAAAUGACAGAUCAGGGUGGGUCGUCGCAGAGCACAAACAUUGAGUCUGCAGUUCGAGUGCUUAUGGACUGCAUAAGAACCGAAAAGGAAAGAUCUCACACACCUCAGCAGCACACCUCUGCUCAGCCUUCUGCUAGUGGGAAUACCAAUAUCAGACCUAGACCA
Paramisgurnus dabryanus is the source of this 403-nucleotide non-coding RNA. Lineage: Eukaryota; Metazoa; Chordata; Actinopteri; Cypriniformes; Cobitidae. The record is from RefSeq and is a predicted model, not a curated record.